Molecule: RNA transcript, 3717 nt
Organism: Mastomys coucha (southern multimammate mouse)
Lineage: Eukaryota; Metazoa; Chordata; Mammalia; Rodentia; Muridae
Gene: Luc7l3
Gene name: LUC7 like 3 pre-mRNA splicing factor
Exons: 12
Source: RefSeq, a predicted model, not a curated record
CGGCAUGCUGGGAAGGCGCCCGGGCGGCGGCCAUUUUGUCUUAUCGGCUCCUCUUUGGAAGAGGCUUUUCGGCUUGAGAGUGGGCCGAGGGGUCGGUUCGGCGGCCGAGCGGCUGGUAGUUUUCGUUGGUGGGUGCUAGGGCUGGUGUGAGCAGCCGCCCGGAGGAAGCACCAUGAUUUCUGCCGCGCAGUUGUUGGAUGAGUUAAUGGGCCGGGACCGAAACCUCGCCCCGGAUGAGAAGCGCAGCAACGUGCGGUGGGACCACGAGAGCGUUUGUAAAUAUUAUCUCUGUGGUUUUUGUCCUGCGGAAUUGUUCACAAAUACUCGUUCUGAUCUUGGUCCAUGUGAAAAAAUUCAUGAUGAAAAUCUAAGAAAACAGUAUGAGAAGAGUUCUCGGUUUAUGAAGGUUGGCUAUGAGAGAGAUUUUCUGCGAUACUUACAGAGUUUACUUGCCGAGGUAGAGCGUAGAAUUAGACGAGGUCACGCUCGAUUGGCAUUAUCUCAGAAUCAGCAGUCUUCUGGGGCUGCUGGUCCAACAGGCAAAAAUGAAGAAAAAAUUCAGGUUCUGACAGACAAAAUUGAUGUGCUUCUACAGCAGAUUGAAGAGUUAGGAUCUGAAGGAAAGGUAGAAGAAGCCCAGGGAAUGAUGAAAUUGGUUGAACAGUUAAAGGAAGAAAGAGAAUUACUCAGAUCUACAACCUCGAUCUCUGAAACACGUUUACCAGCUUAUUAUAAAGGAUAUUACAAAGGAUGCAGAUGAAGAAGAGAUGCAUAGGUAUGGGAGAAGGGUUGUGAAGCUUCCAUCUCCUCUUCAGGUUCACCACCUUCUAGGAACCUCCAUUUAUUCAGACUAUAGAAAGUUUUGCUGCCCAAGAAAAACAGAUGGAAGUUUGUGAAGUAUGUGGAGCUUUUUUGAUAGUAGGAGAUGCCCAGUCCCGGGUAGAUGACCAUCUGAUGGGAAAGCAACACAUGGGCUAUGCCAAAAUUAAAGCCACUGUGGAAGAAUUAAAAGAAAAGUUAAGAAAAAGAACAGAGGAACCUGAUCGGGAUGAACGUCUCAAAAAAGAGAAGCAAGAAAGAGAGGAAAGAGAAAAAGAGCGGGAGAGAGAAAGGGAAGAACGGGAAAGAAAAAGACGAAGAGAAGAGGAAGAAAGAGAAAAAGAAAGAGCUCGUGACAGAGAAAGGAGAAAGAGAAGUCGUUCACGGAGUAGACACUCAAGCCGAACUUCUGACCGGAGAUGCAGCAGGUCUCGGGACCAUAAAAGAUCACGGAGUAGAGACAGAAGGCGAAGCAGAAGUAGAGAUCGACGAAGAAGCAGAAGCCAUGACAGAUCAGAAAGAAAACAUAGAUCUCGCAGUCGGGAUCGAAGACGGUCAAAAAGCCGAGAUCGAAAGUCAUAUAAACACAGGAGCAAAAGUCGGGACAGAGAACAAGAUAGAAAGUCCAAGGAGAAAGAAAAGAAGGGAUCUGAUGAUAAAAAGAGCAGUGUGAAGUCCAGUAGUCGAGAAAAACAAAGUGAAGACACAAACCCUGAAUCGAAGGAAAGUGACACUAAGAAUGAGGUCAAUGGGACCAGUGAAGACAUUAAAUCUGAAGUGCAGCGUAAGUAUGCACAGAUGAAGAUGGAGCUAAGCCGAGUAAGAAGACAUACAAAAGCCUCUUCUGAAGGAAAAGACAGUGUAGUCCUGCAAAACAUUUUGAGGUACAUUGUUUUGUCUCAGCUAUUUUGUAGCAGACUUCGUGCCCCCAUUAGUGUGCCUCUUUGGAAAUUACUGUCCACGUAUGUAAUAUAGUCGCCAUUGAAAAGUUAAUUAUCCUUUUUUUAGGGAUUUUGCUGUCAUUUCUUUUUUUUCUUUUUUUUUUUUUUAAAUAAAAAGGUUGAACUGUUUUUUUUCUUUUUGGUAUUAAGUCCAUCUUGUGUUGGUACAUUGGCAGAAACAUAUGCUUUAAAACUUAACUAUUUCUGAGGCACAUGUUGGACUACUUUGUUUUAAUUAAACUGCUAGUAUUUAUUUGUCCAGGAUGUUUCUAGUUUUUUGCUUUAUUGCCUUGCAUUCUAAUGCAGUUUGUUCUGUAACUCGAGAGCCAGUAGCAUUGGAUUGAUGGAAGUGUAGGGUUUAUGAAUUAUUGCAGCUGACUACCAUACCUCACACAGCGUUGGUGUUGUGAGCGGCCCAUGAAAAGCCAAAUUAGAAAUCAAGGAUUCAGUCAAACUAAGCAGGUAUUCAUGCCAGGUACUCCUUUCUCUACCCACAUCCGUGUUUGAAUGCUAUUGCCUGUGACCUUUACGCUUAACUGUUGUGUAUCCUUUUUGUUCUUUACAAGAAGCACAGAGGGGUUUUUUUGUGUAUUGCGUGGAAUCUUACAAAUCCUAUGUUAACAGAAUGGAAUUUUUUUUCAACUGUGUGUAGGGAUGCAGUGGUGCCCAGAAUUAGAUAUCUUUAAAGAAUUUAAAAUACAAUAAACACUUCAUAUUACCCGCCUUGUUACAUUCAGUGCAAUUCUCAAGUCUUUAAGAGGUAUGUGUUUAAUGUUUCCUACUGUGUAGGAGAAUUUGCAGUCAGCCAUAGUAUAGAGGAAUAAUCACUGGCUGAGACAUUGAAAGUAACAGCAUUUAGCAAGGACAGACACUUGGAUCAGUGACACAAAGAACUGAUUAACUAUUGGAUGAGGUUGGGUUCUUAAAGAACUGUUUAAAGCUAGGUUUAUAGGUGUUCUUAAAACCUCUAACUGUUCAAUCUUCGGGCUAGUGGCGUGGGAUGAAAUAUUCCUAAUGAAAGGAAGUACCAAUUAGUUGAUUCAUUGGUGGCAUUCCUGUUUUAGAAAAGCAGUGUAGUUAUGUCUGUGUGAACCAGUUACACAUAGGCAGUACACACAGGCACAUGGCUCUAAGAACCACACUGAUGCCUUGAUGUAAGAACAAUACAUUUUAUAUACACAUGUAUCGAUUGGUUAGCAGCUAGCAACUGGGCCAACACUUAGUCAUAAAAUUUGACCUUUUAUAUGCUGUCUAAUUAUCAAUUUUCCCCAAAUUUUGCAUUGUAGGACUACUGUUGAAGAGUUUUUGAAGAAUACUGAAAACGGAAUAAAGUGAAGAUCAACAUUAAAAUGAGGUGAAAGAAAGCUAUAGUGGCGUAGAAAAAGUAUAAAGCUCAGUUAGUAAUUUGUUUUUUAUUAUUAUUAAAAAUUAAUUCAGGACUGUUGUGACCUACCAGAUUUCAGAACAUGUGUUAAUAGCACAUAUGCCACUUUGAAAACUUAGGUCCUGUAUCAUAUUUUUUUCUUUAAGACUUUUUAAGAAAUAUUACCUAAACAUGUGGCUUGCUCAGUGUUUACUUGCAAGUUUUCAGUCUUGGACUUUGAAAACAGGAUUAAACAUUAGUAUUCAUGUGAAGCAGACUGGGAUUCCAUUUUUACACUUCUGCUAUACUUAGCCUUUGGAUUUAGAAGUGAAAAUAAAGUAUCUCUGACUUUCUGUUACAAAGUUGAUUGUCUGUGUCAUUGAAAGGCUUUAGUGUUACUCUUUUUCUAAUAAAGUGACCUACUCCAACUACUUCCUUGUUUUUAAAUAUGAGGCAGGCACACUAGUAAUGCAGGUGCAGUGAACACUUCCUAACCUGUCCUGAAGGAUAAUUUUUUAUACAACUUACUGUUUGAUGUUUUAAUGGUGCUUCAUCUUGGCUGGUUAUAAAUAAAUUUGCAUUUGCUUUCAAUAA